RNAcentral lists this ribosomal RNA (505 nucleotides) under uncultured bacterium. Its description in RNAcentral is "partial 16S ribosomal RNA". It matches the Rfam family "Bacterial small subunit ribosomal RNA", at positions 28 to 523 of the family's 1533-position model. The record is from RNAcentral.
GAUUAACGCUAGCGGCAGGCCUAAUACAUGCAAGUCGAACGGCAGCGGGUGUAGCAAUACAUGCCGGCGAGUGGCGCACGGGUGCGUAACGCGUAUGCAACUUACCUAUAACUGGGGAAUAGCUCUCGGAAACGGGAAUUAAUACCGCAUAAUAUCACGAUUUGGCAUCAUAUUGUGAUCAAAACUCCGGUGGUUAUAGAUAGGCAUGCGUGACAUUAGCUAGUUGGUGAGGUAACGGCUCACCAAGGCUACGAUGUCUAGGGGGUCUGAGAGGAUGAUCCCCCACACUGGUACUGAGACACGGUCCAGACUCCUACGGGAGGCAGCAGUGGGGAAUUUUGGACAAUGGACGCAAGUCUGAUCCAGCCAUUCCGCGUGCAGGAUGAAGGCCCUCGGGUUGUAAACUGCUUUUGUACGGAACGAAAAGGUCUCUCUUAAUACGGGGGGCUCAUGACGGUACCGUAAGAAUAAGCACCGGCUAACUACGUGCCAGCCGCCGCCGUAA